Molecule: long non-coding RNA, 38130 nt
Filed under: Ananas comosus (pineapple)
Lineage: Eukaryota; Viridiplantae; Streptophyta; Magnoliopsida; Poales; Bromeliaceae
Description: long non-coding RNA (ACOM_LNC008855)
Source: RNAcentral
AAGUUAUAAUCUUGAAUUUUACAUAUAAGCAUUAGGCCAGAUUCAUCAAAUGUGACAUCCCUUACUAAUAAUUGAAUUUAGACGAUUCAGGACACCACAAUCUAUAUUCCUUAACCCCCAAUGUGUGUUAAUAAGACAAUAUAAAGAGACAAACUUCUUUUAGCCUCCUGUAGGGUUCGUCAUAUACAUCACUUAAAUAUAAACAUAUGACAUAAGAGCAAGUGAAGACAACCAAUAUAUUCGCAAAAUGUAGAAUGUCACAAUAUUCUUAAAGAAGGGAUGGCUAUCCAGUAAGCCUUCGCGCACAGAAUUCGUUUGCAAUCAUGAGAUUUGACGAAAUGCUGAAUUGUGUCGUGAUAGAUCCGUUAAAAUUUGUCUUCUAAGCCACGAAUAUCGUAGUGCCGGUAUGUGAGAAGAUUUCGUCCUACUGCCACAGAAUAUAAAUUUUGCUAAGCCAGCAUUGUGAGAGACUAUACUUAGAACUUAUCCUCCGAGAAGUCCAUAGUCGAAAUAAUAGAUGCUUCUUUUUCAUAUUCGUUCAUUACACACUAAGACUUCCGAUUGAAUUGCGUGCGGUUGAGUAUGAUUGCCCUACUACGGUCUUGAUGGAUUUCGAAUACAGUGGAUCCAUAUAACCCGUCACUCUGGCAGAAUUCUUCAAUAGCAUCAUAUAGUAUUCUGUUUGUUCGCAGCACGAAGUUACCCUAUAAUCCAUUUGUGUCGCUUUCGUAUAUUGCUGGUUAGUCGGUUACGAUUAUAAUUUUCUGCGCGUGGCAUUCCGUAUAAGUGAGAGUGUUCAGUAGAUCUUAGCUUUUUCGUUGUAUCCUCUCAAUCCCAUAUGUAAUCCAUACUUCCUCUCUACUCACCUUUGACAAUAAUUUUUAUCUACUCCCUACAUCUAUUCUGGUUUAAGGCUCUUUUGCUAUAUAAGGUAUUGAGGUACCGCCCACACUAACUUGUAGAAGGGGUGAUCAAUAAAAUGUAUACAACACGUAUCAUAUAGAGUCGCGAACCAUGGUAGGAUUAGAGAUGCGAAAAAAAGCAGGUCCCCUCCCUAAAGAUUCAGAAUGGAUUUAGGGCAUAUAUUAGUACCUUUUUGGUUCAUUAGGACCCGCAGAAAAGUGUAUAUGGUUUAGGCCUUAGUUUUGCAGCCUAGCUUGGACAUUGGUUAGAGGCAUCUGAAGAAUUUUUUAUUAUGCGAUAGAAUGGAUGUUGAGGAAAAGUAUAUAGCGAAUAUGAUUUUGCCAGUCUCCGAUGAAACAGCAGAAAAAUAUAUCGGUAAUGUAGCCGACUAACAACUGCAUCAGUAUGAUGUCGUUUUUGUGUGUAAUUUAAUUACAAAAGGACUCUGACUAAGCUUUUUUCAUCGUCCUGGGUUUGCUCACGCGCAUCUGCGAAAACGAAUUAAAACGAAAUUCUACGCGAUUUCCAAGUUUCACUUAAGUGAAUAGUAACUCGAUUUUCCGGAGAAGCCACGGUGGGAAGAUUGGCUUCUGGCUCGUACCGGACUCUAUUCUAUAGCAUCAAUAGCUCGUCGAACCGGUUCAGCUAUUCUGGAACUAAAUGACUCUGACGGAUUUUGAGUUUGACGCACGGAAUUCGGAGAAAAUCCAAAAAUACAUGUUAUAUGUAUUUACGUGUGUGUUUCCUUCUAUUCGAAGAAGGUUGAGUUUUGUCGUGAACCGUGGCGAUCGAGACGAAACGAAGAAUCCGCCUUUGUAUCUGUCUCGUCGCUGGAUGCAAUGGUGUGCAAUCCGUUCGCAAAUCUGAUGACGGAAUCUGCGGAGAUCGCCGCGUUGAUCGAAGAGGAGUCGGAGUUAGCCAAAACGUUAUUUGUCGCAAAAGUUGCGAUAUUUUUAUGUAUCGUUUCCGACGGAUGCACGUGAGGGGUUUCGAUGCUUUUAGUUGUACUGUAGGAUUCGGAAUGAAAUAUUGAGGUUCGGUGACUUAUUUGCAGAUGUUUGUAUCGUUGUUUAUAUAGUGCGUUCUAGGGUGUUUGACCCUAACCCCUAACCCUAGCUCAGCAGCCAGCUACCACUAGUCGCGCCCAGCCACCUUCACCCUUCCCUGCCCUUGCUGCACAGCCGGCCGUCGCGGUGAGCCGGGCGCCGACGAGGCCAUCAUCCAUCUCUUCACUCCUCUUCUCUCUCUCCUAUCUCCUUCGGGUUGUGUGAAGGCCCGGGGUGCGUUCCUUGCAGACCCUCCCUGGACUUCAGUGCUCUGGCAACUCAUUCCGCGCGACCGCCGCCCGUCGCUGCGCCGCAACGCAGACCGCUCCAGCGCCUGCAGCAGCCCAGGCCCGAGCUCAAGCGAGCUGUUGCAGCCGCGUGCCGCGCGCCGCCACGCCUGAGAUCGCUCCAGCUGACAUCCCCCGUGCCCGGGCGCCCCUUCCCGCCGGUCGCCGCCGCCCCGGCGCGCAGCCGCCGCCGCCUCGGCCAGCCCGCAGCCGCCCCAGACCCGCUCGGGCCGAGGCGAGCGUGCGACUCCACCCUCGCGUCGCCGCCGCCCUGGGCCGCCCCUGUGGCACCUCCCCGACCUCUGGCAGUCGGCCGCCUCUGCCCCGAGCCGCCCCGAGCGCCGCUGCCGCCGCGCGAGCCGCCUGCAGCCCUCCAACCCGAGCCCGAGCCGAAGCCGUGUGCGGCCUUUUCCUCGCGCCGCCGCCGCCCUGAGCCUCCUAUGCCGCCCUUCCCCGACCUCCUGCAGCCCGCCUCCACCGUCCCGGAGCUCCCCGGCCGCCGCCGUGGCCGCAGGAACUCCUGGAACCCGUGCCCUAGCCCGUGCGGGCUCAUCUUGCCCCGCCGUCGCCGCCGCCGCUCCCAGCCGCUGUCUGAGGUGAGCACCUCACUCCUCUCCUCCCCCGCACCCAUCCCUGGCCUCUGCGCGCGCCGCCAUGCCGCCGGAAGCCGGCCGGAGCAAGCUUGCUCCGGCCAAGCCCGAAAUGGGGCUUUUGUGGGAGGGCUUACUGUUCUGGGCAUCCCGAGCUUCCCCGAUCUCUACGGAAGGGAGCACGAUGAUCCUGGCAAGUCUUUGAUCAUCGUGCUCACCUUAGUUUCUGUCGGGGAGACUCCGUUCCGCUGAUUUGGCGAUGUCGCUCCGUUUCAGCCUUUUUAGCUGCUGUUUUGGGCUUGCGCACGUUUAUCCGGCGAUCCGAGGCUGUCCUGAUGCCUCCGGAGGUGAGCACGGUGAUCGUUAGUCAGUGCUGAUCACAAUGCUCACCUUCCCGUGGAUCAGAAGUGUCCGGUUAGUUCUGUUCGGCGCGAUCUUCCCUGACUGCGCGCUAUUCGCUGAACCUUCGGGUUGCUCCCGCGCUUCCCACAGCGAGCCGCUGUGCUCCGGAUCGUGAGCACGGACUCCGGUACGUCGAGACCUGUCUGUACGUGUCUCUGCGGACUUUGAAAGUCCUCGGUUUACGUGAACGAGCUGCUUGAUCGCUCAAAUUACAUAAAAUGAUGAUAUUUUAUGUAAUUAGAGGGUCUUUUAUGCAAUUGUGCUUUGCGUGGCUACUGUGGGCAGUGUGUGGGAGUUUGUUAUGACCGCUGGACUGAUUGCCCAUGGUCCGUUAGCCUUUGCGGAAAUCGGUAGGUCGAUUUCGGUGCGUUUUGCGGCGAAAUUCGCCGAAAGAACGCGGUUUCGGUUCGGAUCCUUUCCGACGGUGUUUGGUUGCUUCGUGUUUUGUCGCUGAGCCUUGUUGGCUGGUCACCAUCGUCAUUUUGUGGGUUCGAUGAUGAUAGGUGAGCGACGGAGGGUUCCGGUGUCGAAAUAGACACUUCCGGGAAUCCGGAUUCGUACGAUUAUCCGGCGAUGAUCGUAUUGUUGUGUGACCUCGUGUUCGCUGCCAAGGCAUCCAAAUUGGAGUGCUUUGGGGCAGCGGGUGACUCGUGGCACGAGUCGGUGAGUUCGGGACACUUAAUGGGUCCCGACGGCGUCCCGGUGUGGUUUUCGGGACUUCCGGUGAGUUACGGGGAUCGGUUUUGGGAAACCGAUUCGGGGAUCUUGUGUGGGGGUUUGUGAGUCUCGUGCUUUGGGUUAGUGGUUUGGAUACUGACUUGGUGGAUCUUCUUAGGUUCGGUAGACUCUGUGCGUACCCAGUGUUCUGACGCGACAGUGACAGGUGGGUGUUUCGAGCUGGUAGUCGGUGAGAGCAUUUCACCUUCUUCUCCUGUUUUUCUAUUCCAGUAUUUUAGUCUCUACAUGUCAUUGUUUGCUUAUCUUUCGUAUAUCGUACCUCUUUGAUUGCAUUUGGUUAGUAGUUGAUAGACAUGUAGAGCAAGUUGCAUUUGUAUUUCAGUAUCUCUGUGGACCUUGGGUCCAGGCAACACAUCGACUCUCUUGUCGUGUGUUUCGAUCUGGUUGAUCGAGGUUUGGCGUUGUACGCCCUAGCAUCCAUUUCAGUUCGGCGUUGUACGCCCUAGCAUUUAUUUCAGUUCGGCGUUGUACGCCCUAGCUUCUAUUUCAGUUUGGCAUUGUACGCCCUCGUUGUUGGCUUCGGCCUAGGCACCGGCUUUAGCCGGGUUUGUUUUUGUUUGAGCAUACCAGCAUGACUUAGUCACGGCACUUGGGGGUAUUCAUGACACCGGAUCGGUUUGGCCACCGAUCGGAGGUGUACUUAUCCGGAUAGGUCGUCCUGCGGGGCGGAUGGAUCAGGUCGGUGCAGUUAGUGACAGGUAGCGCUUGAGGUCUGCGGACCGAUACAGCAGGCACAGAUUGGGUACAGUUUCUGGUUCAGUACAUUGAGGCAUUCUUUGCAUUGUUUUCUAUACAGUAGCAGGUUUAUUUAUUGCUUCCUAUUUAUCUGUUGUAGCUACUGUAGUUCUAUUUCAUAUCAGCUUACAGAUAUAUACUUGUUUAUCUAUCUCCUUUGGUUUCCGGUGAUUACGACUUGCCUUCGUGGCUCUGUCGUACCCACUGAGAAAACCAUGGUUGCGGUUUCUCACCCCCCUUUCCCCCCCCAGGUGACAGAGACGAGGAGUUGGAUUUUGGGCUCGACGAGAGGACGAUCUAGUUAGACGGCAGUAGCGACCGUCACCCUGGUUAUUUCUUUCCCGCACUUAGUAGUUUUCUUAAUAAUGGUUCAGUUAGCUGAUCUUAUGUAUGCUUGAAUGUAUGUGAACUGUGGUGUUGGUUUCUUUUAUACAUGAGAUUGGAGUUUUCGAUCUGUGGUUUUGGUUCUGUGGAGAUUUGGUUUUCUUGUAGUUAUGCAUCGUGGUUUUCUACCCCUCGAGGUAGUCGGUUUUCAAAAUAGAGUUUCCGUGUGGGAAACAGUUUUAAAAAGGUUUUCGAAUGGUUUUUAUGAAUGAAUGAAUUAGAGUUUAAAAACAAAAGCUUCCGUGUGGGGAGCACUUUUAAAUAGAAUGUUUGUUGUAUUGUGCAUUGCAUCAUCCAGCGCCUAAGGAGUGCUUAGAGGCAUGCAUCAUUCUAAGGAUUGUUAGCUGUAUGGGAUUGCAUAUCAUGCCUUGGUUGUUGAUUGGUAAAUGUAGGUUGUGGUUGAGAUCCUGUUGUAUCCGUUGGUACGCCGUGCAAAUACAAAGGAGACUCUGUCCGAGUGGACAGAGGAACUUUAUAUUUGUGGCGGGUCUGUACGUCGCGUGGGCCAGGUUGAAAAAAAAAAAAAUGGCACGUUUUGCGCAACUCUGUUUUAGAAAGGCUUUUAAAAUCGGCCCCGGGGCGUGACAGGCCUUAAAGCUGACUCUCUUUUGUUUGCCAAGAACACAAUGCUCGCAGAAGUCCAACUUUUCUAAACUCUGACUACCAAGUAAACCUCUCUCGCCCAACUUCAUCAUACCAUAUUCACUCAUAUGGCCCAGUCGCAUAUGCCAUAAUCUGGUGCUAUCCGAAUCUGACAUAGAAGAAGAAGUCACCGUUGCUGAACCUGUCACAGUGGAACCCUGUAGGACAUAUAACAUGUCGGACAACUUGGCCUUCAUCACUACAAGAUUCCCUUUAACGACCUUCAUUAAUCCAUCAGCUGAAGAAUACUUAAAGCCUUUAGUAUCAAGUGUACCCAAUGAGAUCAGAUUUUUCCUCAUAUCCGAAACAUGCCGAACCUCAGAUAUAGUCCUCACUACUCCAUCGAACAUUCGUACCCGAACAGUGCCAAUUCCAAUAACUGUGCACUUAGAGUGAUUUCCCAUCAAUACAUCUCCACCUUCAAUAGGCAUGUACGUCGAGAACCAUUCUCUAUGUGUACAGAUAUGAAAAGAACAUGCGGAGUCCAUAAGCCACUCAUCCUGUCUGCGUGUCUUAUCCGUAACUGUAAAGACGAUAUCAUUUUUAUCUGAUUCUCCUGCUACAACACUUGCUUCUGCUUCAGUAUUGGUGUUUUUCUGAUUUUGAUUUUUAUCACCAUUAUUCUUCCGCUGCUCUUUAUUUUUCAACUUGAAACAAUCAGCUUUUAUGUGACCCUUCUUCUUACAAUAACCACAAAUCAGAUUCCUGUAUUUUGACUUUGAUCUUGAUGUACCUCUAUUACCGGAACCCUUCUCCCGAGACCUCCCUCUAGCGACCAAACCUUGUCCUGAAGCUCCACCUGUCUCGUUGCUUAUCUGCAUGUCAAUUCUCUCUUUUGAAAGUAAAGAGGAUUUAACAUCAUCGAGACAUAGAGUAUCUCGUCCAAACAAGUCUCACGAAAAUUCUUAUAAGAGGGCGGUAGAGAACAUAAUAAUAAAACGGCUUCAUCUUCCUCCUCGAUUUUGACAUCUAUCGAGCGGAGAUCCAUAAUGAUAGAAUUAAAUUCAUCUAAAUGCGACUUAAUAGAGGUACCUUCCGCCAUGCGCAACAUGAAGAGACGUUGCUUCAAAUAUAACUUGUUGGUGAGAGAUUUCGUCAUAUAGAGAGACUCCAAUUUAAGCCAAAGCCCUGCAGCGGUCUUUUCAUCCAAGACCUCGCGCAAUACCUCAUCGGAUAAACAUAAUUGUAUUACCGUAAGAGCUUUAUCAUCAAUCUCCUCCUUCUGCUCUGCCGUUAACGAAUCGGGCAUCUUUUCUUUUCCCAACAGUGCCUUUUGCAAUCCUUGCUGCGUCAAUACUGCACGCAUCUUGACUUGCCAUAAUGCGAAACUAUUAGUCCUGUCAAAUUUCUGAAUCUCGAACUUCGUCGUCAUCUUAAUCCUCAAAGGGAAUAGAAAGGCUCUGAUACCAGUUUGUUAAAAUCGGAACGGCGAAAAAUAGAUCCAGAAAAUAAUUUAAUGCAAGAAAAGAAAAGAUAAGGAAAGAACACACCGAUAUUUACAUGGUUCGGCCAACGGCCUACGUCCACGGGCGAAGACGGAGCAAAUAAUUUAUUAAUGUCGAAAAGGCGGAGUACAAAGAAUAUCUCUCAAAAGAACCCAAAGCUUUAUUAGAUCCGAAAACGCCGCACCAAGCAACUCCAAAAGCGGCUUCUCUCUCAACCCGUACGGACCAACACCUUAAUUAAUUAGCAUGGCAUGUGCGGCUCCUUCUCAGAUACUCAACUAAUUAGAGCUCCAACUCCCUCGGCUCAUAUUGCUGCCACCGUACAGAAUUAGCAUAGAUGCGGCGUCAUUAGAGCUUGCCUCUAAUUAGAGCACGGCAGGCCACCAAUAACUUAAUUAAUUUUGCAUGGCUCUUAAUUUGGUCGCGACUUCUUUAAUUUGGCCGUAGCAUGUAUAUAUAAUACAUGUCUCCUAAUUAGAGUCUAAUUCUAAUUCAAUUAAAAUUAUACUCCUAAUUAUAAUCCAUAUAUGCCAAAUUAAAUCUAAAUAAUAUCUAAUCCCAAUUAGAUUAGGAUUUAUCCUCAAAUUUAGAUAACUACAAAUCUAAACCAAAUAUAACAUAGGCUUCUCAAUACCGCACGAGCGAGCAUAAGUAGCGUAGGCUAACUCCGGAGUGCCGGCUUGUAGGGAGCGACCCUCACAAGCAUGUGCGAAUGAGCACCAAUGGCAAGCAAGUAUAGUCAUCGUCACAACGAUCCGGUCAUCAUGGCUCAACCAUGAAAAUGAUCGCUAGCAACCCAUAGGUCUAGUCCAAUGUCCCAAGUGAAUGUUUAACCAUUCAUUAUGUCCAAUGCCCCUUUUAUGGCAUUAUAUCUCACUAUAUCAAAAUCUUGUUCCAACACUAAUGCCACUUCAUGACAUUAUGUUUACUAAGUCUGCACAUAUUCCAAGCCUAAUGCCCCUUUAUGACAUUAGCUUGCUAAGUCCAUAUCUAGUCCAAGCCCAAUGUCGCUUUGUGACAUUAGCUUACAUGAAUACCAAUUCCAAACCUAAAGUCUCUUUAUGACAUUAGUUUACUAUACCAAUUCCGAGCCCAAUGUUUCUUUAUGACAUUAGCUUACUAUACCAAUUUCGAGCCUAAUGUCUCUUUAUAACAUUAGCUUACUAUACCAAUUCCGAGCCCAAUGUCUCUUUAUGACAUUAGCUUACUAUACCGAUUUCGAGCCCAAUGUCUCUUUAUGACAUUAGCUUACUAUACCAAUGAUGAGUCUAAAUCUAAGAAUGCAUUGCACUUGUCAUUUUCACUAUAUGAAAUAUAAUCCAAAUCCACACAUAGGAGUGCUAUCCAUAGGCCCAAGCCCAACAUGCAAACUCUCUACUACAUAGAGGUCCAAAAAUGUAUUAUACAUAACAUGUGCAUUUUAAGCAUUUCAAAAUUCUCAAAUAUUCUGUCUAGUAUGAAUAUGCAUGCAUUUUCAUUUUACGAUAAGUAAAAACCAUCAUAGGGAUGAUUUAUUCCGUUUUGGUGAGGCCAAACCCACCAAGUCUCCUCGCAAUCCUUCGUUUGCGCCGACGAAGAUGCCCACAAGCCUCCUAGCUCCCUAAAGGUUAAAUUAGGAGUGUUACACGAACGUUACGAACAACGAAUAGGUUAAACAUUAACCAACUCAAGAAAAUGCCAAAAUCUCACCUUAUAUGGUGAAAAUUUCUCUCAAACUCCAAAUGAGAGCAAGAUCUCACCAAAUCCAACCUAAACAAAGGUUCUAAUUAAACCAAUUAGGUUCCAAAAGCCUCUAACCAAAAAUCCCCAUUUUAAAACCCUAGUUCUUCCAUUUCUAGGGUUCCAACAAGAAAAUCCAACAAAACAUGUAUUAAAUGAGGAAUACAUGUUACCAACAUCUUUAAAAGCUCCAAUCAAGGCUCAAAAUGCUCUAGGGUUGAGAAUCAUCCCUCAAACAAGCUCCUACCCGAGCUCCCAAGCUUCUCCUAUGGUGGAAGUGGCACCAAGAAGCAUAAGGGAGCAAAAAGAAGUGAUUAAACUUCAAAAAUCUGUAAUAACUGAGAUUUUUCAUUUAUUGAUUUCCUCCAGGCCCCUCCCGCGACCGGCCGCCGCCCGCCGUUGGCCACCACGCCGCCGGCUCUAGUUGGGAAGUGUGAAGGAGAGCCCAAGCCCGAAGGGCCGCCGCACCGCCGCCGGCCUCCUCCAGCCCCGCUGAGACCACGCCGCGGCCUCCGGCUCCCCUUCUGCCACGUGGGGAACCACCCGACGCCGUCGCGGACCUUCGGUUCGCCCGGGCUGGAGCCGGGCGUGCACUGACCCGCCGGUGUCCUUCGAGGUCGCCGCCGGCCGCCGCGCGCCCCUGCCGCCCCCUGCGCGCGCGGCCCAUCGGCCUCCAGCGGCCCCGGCUGACCCCCCGCCGCACCGGCUUCGCUCCGCUCCUGCGUCGUGGGCUCGGCCGAGCCAGACCCGACUGGGCUCGACCGACGUCCCUCGGCCCCACCGAGGCCGCCGCAAGCUCCCACCGGCCCCGGCCGCCCCCUCCUGCGGCCUCCUCUCGGAGCCGGUCCACUCCCCCUUCGAGCCGAAACUACGGGAGGGCUCGUGUUGUUAUCUUUUUCCACCGUCCAGCCCCGAUUCCCUCUCGGCUCUCCACCGGCCCCACUGAAAAGGCCGCCGGCCUCGUCGGACGGCCGCCGGCCCCGCACUCGUGCUCGACCCGUUCCUCUUCCACCCCACCAAUCCCGUCGACCCCUUUUAAUCCCAAUCCCAAAGGAAUCGGCUUGGGAUUUUGGGGUGAAUAUAGUGUACUGAUUAACAGCUUUUGGGGAGGAUCAGGUUAUGGGAAAAAUGGUUCGGGGGACGGUUGUACAACCACGUAGAACGUACUAGCAGGGAGGCUCUAAGCUUAAGAGCGUUCUACCGCGUAUUUUAUAACCCGAAAAAGCGCUAAAUAGCCAAAACAGUUGAACCGGAGAAACGCCUGAAAAGCGCUAAGGGCUUCUAGGCAGGCAGCCUAAAGGCUUGCCUAACGCGGUCGCGCUAGUCGUGCUGACCCCGUAGCUUAGAUCGUAAAGCAAAGCAGACUUUUCCAGAGGCUAAACGCUGUUUUGGGUGGGAGUGACCAAGGUAGUUUUGGUGUAUAUCCAUAUUAGUAUACAUUUUUGGUAAUUUGGGGAAAAAGAGCUGUUGGUACGUAGUCUUGGGUUAAGGCAGUCGCGGUUACCAAGGUCAUAUCAGCUCUCCAAGCUUUACUCGAUAACCUUCCGAUAUAAGUCUCAGGCUAUGCGCAGCUUUCAGGUGAGAUGAGGCGCCGGAGAGGCUUUUUGGCCUCAAUGAUAAGUGAAUUCAGCUUGAAGGCCCAGCGCAUUGAAGAGGCAAAAUUGAGCAAAAGAGGACUUUAAACUGCUCAUGUGAAUAUUAAUAUAAUGUGUGUUCUUGUAGCAGUUUGUUUUCCCAAGNGUGAAAGUAAAUUAACUAAAACAUUUAUACAUUGUAUCUUGAUUACUUUAAAUCAAAUACAAAGCUUACCAUUUUGUUUACAUACACACAUUCUCUAAUAUAUACAUUUGCCAUCUCUCAAAUGAAUAAUUUACAUUUUCUCUUCAUCAACUGUAAAUAUAUGAAAUGUACAAGGUACAACUAUACUCAAUGGAUGUCGCUAUCUAUUGCGCGCUGUCCUUGUCACGAUCCUCAACCACCCCGCACUCACUAGAACCUGCAUAGUUAGUGGGGUGAGAACUACUGAAAGUUCCCAGUGGGUUCGGUUGCCGACCUUGCCGACUCACCCACUAGGUUUAUUCAGGCAUCUGUAGGAAAAGAAUUAGAUAACAAACUGUAACAACUGAGAUUUUUCAUUUAUUGAUUGAACCCUUUUGUUUGACGAUGUUCUUGUGUGUAAUAUAAUUAUAAGUGUACUCGUCAAAUUUCAGGAGAAAACGAGUUAAAACGGAGAAGUUACGCGACCCGGAAGUUCGACUUAAGUGAAUAGUAACUCCGGUUUUCCGGAGAGGCCGCGGAGUAGAGUGGACUUUCGACGCGUAUCGGACUCUGAAUAUAGCCUUCCAAUAGCUCGUUUCGAACCUCUCGGCUAUACUGGAACCAUUGGCGCUGACGGAAUUGGGUUCUGAUGCAUGGUUGUCGAGAAAAAGGGGUUUAAUGGUUUUUACAUAUGAUUAUACCUAUAUGUGGUUUUGAUGGAACCAGUGAGGGUGGGUUUUGUCGCAAAUCGGAGACCUUUUCAGACGAAACGAAAUGCUAGAUUCGAUGCCCCAGUCGUGCUGAUCGCGCUGGCGCAAUCCGUUCGGAAAUCCGACGGACGGAUCUUCGGGAAUCGUGAAAAGUCCGCUUAGAGGUCAGUAGGCAAAAUCGAUUAAUCGCGAAAAGGUCCAUUAUUUUAUGCGCGAUCUUGCGCAAAUUCGAAUGUCGAGGGACCUAUGCGGAUUUUCCACAUGUUGACUGGGGGCUUGGUAAAAAGGGUAUUAGACUAGGAAGGGUUUUAGACAAUUUGUCGCGUGGUAUAAAUGAGGUUUUAGGGUUCAGCCAAGGAAACCCUAACCCUAAUUUUUCCCCAGCUGCCCUAACCUCCCCUUGCCCAGCUCGUGCUCGCGCCCCGGCCGCCGGCAGGCUGCUCCGGCCGCCGGAGAAGUCACCCCGGCCACCUCCUAGCUCUUCCCUAGACCCGACCUGCCACAUUUCGAGUCUUGUGCUCGGGAGGGCAUCUAGGCCGAGCUUCCCCCUUCCCUGGCCGAGACUCUCCUCCGGCGUCCUCCCCCGCCGGCCCCGGUCACCCUCGAACGCCGUCGGAGCCACCCCGGCUCCCUGCAGCCAGCUCGGGUCAGCCCAGACCGAGCCGGCUCGGGUGCAGCGUCCUCGCCUCGCCUCGGCCGCGCCGCCCCCCAGUCGGUCCCGGCGACCUCAGGCAACUCGACGCGCGCGUCCCCGUCGUCCCCGCGCGCCGCCGGCCGCCGCUGGAGCUUCCUGUGGCCGCCCAGUCACGUGCGGGCCGAGGUCGAGCCCGCUUAGCUUCCGGGCGCUGCCGCAGCCCACCAAGGGGUGCACCGCCUUCCUCUCGGCCUCCGGCGCCGCACCAGAGUCGCUCCGACCUCCUCCGGUCGCCGCCACGCCGCCGGGAAGCCCGAACCCGAGAGGAAGUGUGAAGGGUUGAUCCCGGCCGCCGCACCACCGGUUGCCGCCCGCCGCCGGCCAGCACCCUCCCCGGACCUCCUGGACCGAGUGAUCCCUCCUCCGGCCGGACCGCCCGCCUCCCGGCCGCCGGCGACCAACCCUAGCUCUCCUCGGGUCUGGUAAGGACAUUUUAUGUUCCAGCACUGUUUUCCGAGGUUCCGGUCUCUUUUCCGGUGAUCCGAGAAGCCUUCUAAGUCUCGGGAAGUGAGCACGAUGAUCUACAACUCGUGCUGAACAUCGUGCUCACCUCCAACAACGGCGAAGAUGCCCUGGUUUGUAAGUUAGUCGCGAUCUUCGCGCUGUGCGCGCAGUUUUUCAGUACUUCGCGUCGCUCGUGCGCGCACCGCAGUGGCCGGCAGUGCUCCGAAAGGUGAGCACGGCCUCCGACAUGCUGAAACCUGUCAGCGAGUACGACGGUCGGAUUAAUCGACCUCCGGUUUGCGUGCACGGUCCAGAAAAGCCUAGAAAUCACAUGAAAUGAUGCGAUUUCAUGUAUCGGUAUGGGCUUUUAGGUUUUCCGCUUCGUUGUAGAUGCUGUAGGCAGCUUGUUUGGGCUGAGGAUAACCUCUGGACUGAUCGUCCAAGGCCCCCAAGCCCUUGCGGAAAUCAAAAGUGAUUUCCGGAGCGUUUUCGGCGAAAUCCGCCGAUAGAACGCGGUUCCGGUUCGGAUUUCAUCCGACGGUGCCUCGUGGCUGAUUGUAGCGUCGCUAAGCCUGGUUGGCUGAUCACCCGCGUCGUUUUGAGGGUUUGGAAAUGACGGGUGAGCGACGGUGAAGUUCUGGUGCGAUUUUCGGGACUUCCGGUUUAUUCAGUAAUCGGUUUUGGGAAACCGGUCAUGGUUCUGGUGAGCAGGGGUCGUGAGUUAGCUUUUCAUGUCAGUGGGUUAGACCUUAACCCGUUGGACCUUUCGUAGGUUCGGUUGCACCGUCUUCACAGUCGAGAGACCUUCGUCAGAUACAUACAGGUGGGUACUUCGACCCGUAGUCGGUACAGUGGUGCACGCUCGGUGACGUUUCUUCACCCCUACUGUUUACUCUAUCUUAUAGUCAUAUUGAGCCUUGCAUCUACAUUUAUAUCUACAUUCCUCUACUCAGUUAUUUCCAUGUUGAUAUCAUGCUUAGGAGUAGAGCUGAUUUAUCUAUUCACUAUCAGUGAUUUGGUUGGGGCGGUUCCCCCUAUUGUGAUACCUAUGACCUGUUCGGUCGAGUUGCUACAGUUCCAUCUUGACUUACGUAGCCGAUUAGUUGCUGAUGGCCUAUACGGCCGGUGUGCCCUGAGGGGCCUGGAUUGUCGGCUAGUUGCCGACGGAUGAUCUUUGAGCAUACUACAUUGAUCGCCACUACAGGUACGCAUUUCACGAACACCAGCGGUCUGAUCCACCGCAAGAGGGUGUUCUUUUCCGGAAAAGUGGUUGGAUUGCCAACCCGUGAGCCCAGGGGCUUCAUUGCGAGGGUAUAUGCUUCUGACCCAGGGGCUUCAUUGCGAGGGUCAGGUACAGGUUGCAGUGUGGCAUGAGCCUGAGGUCUUCGGACCAAUAGGGCAGCGAGAUUGGGUACUUUUGAGCUUUUCGUCAGUUGACGCAUGCAUACAGUAGCUGUAGUGUUUAUUUCCAGCACAUCCUUAUCUGUUUAUUGUAGCUACUGUUUUACUUACCUGCAUCUAUACUUGUCAGCUCCUUACUUAUCAGCAUAUUUACUUAUCAACAUUUAUAUCUAUCUAGUUUCCCGUGACUAGUGAGUACCCCUCGCCCUCUACGGCUUGCGGUACCCACUGGGAGGGGAGACAUGUUUACAUGUUCUCACCCCCCGCCCCCAUUACAGGUGACGUAGCAGGUCCGAGUGGGACAGCUGGUGAGGAGCGUGUCUAGCGUGCGAUAGAGCUCCUUCCCGAGUCGGUUAUUCCUUUUACCCUUCAUGCUUGAAUAAAUACUUAGACAUAUUAUGGUUCAGUUUCUAUUUUAUUAUCUGACUAUCUGGGUUUUCAAUUGGUUUUGAAAGGUACUAAAGGAUUGGAGUUUUCUUGAAAUAAAACAGUUUUCUACCCCUCGUGGUAGCUGGUCUUGAAAAAGAAUGGUUCCCGUGUAGGGAUCAGUUUUCAAGUUGAUUUCUCUGUGGAUUUAUGGAUUUAGUAUUUCAAAAUCAGUUUCCAGGUAGGAAACAUUUUUAACUGAUAGAUGUGGAAUGUUAUUCUUAUUCAAGUCUCAUAUCUGUGUGUGUGAAUGGAAUGGAUGAAUGUUAUCUAUCUUGUUGUUCAUCUGGUUGUGGUUGUGUGUGUACUUAUACUCUGUUGUACUUGUGCGACGCCGUGCAAAUACAGGGGAGACUCUGUCCGUGUGAACAGUGGAACUCCUGUAUUUGUGGCGGAUCUGGCACACUCUGGGGUCAGAUUUUCAAAAAAAAUUUCAGACGCUUUUCCGCUACCUUUUAAACGAAAAGGGACCCCGGGGCGUGACAAAAUCUCAACUAAAUGAAGGAGAAUCAAAGAGAGGAAGAGAAGGGCUUCCCUACCUUCUCCUCCACUGGUCUCAGCUCAGGGGACCUCCAAGGGGUGUAGGGGAUAUUUGUAAUAAGGCUACAAUUCCAAAAACACCCCUCAAAAACUGCCAUUUCUAAAUCUGGCAAAGUGUAUCGAUACACGGGAAAGUGUACCGGUACAAAACCCUGUACACGCAAACUCGAGGCUCGGGUUGGUUGAGAAAUCGCAUUUAUACCGGUACAACCAUCGAGUUGUCACCGAUACACAUUCUGUACCGGUACAACCAUCAAGAUGUACCAGUACACAGCCCAGCAAAAUGUAACCCGAAAGCAGCCUAAGUCCAUCACUUUGGUGUCCUUAGCGCUACUUUAAAUACUACAAUUCUCGGGAUAUGAGCCAUAGGUCAGAACACUGUCAACGACCCUCCAAAAUAUCUGGAAAAACUCGGAACACUGAUGAAACACUUAAACCUCGCAAUUUUGCAAAGGUACAGUGUGUUACAUAAACAAUGUCGAAAAAAUAUAAAAUUUUAUUUCUAAAAACUUCAAAUAUUCCAGAUCAGUUUUUAAUGGUAUGGAUUGUUUAUUUGAAUAUUCUAAGAUUGAAAAAGAGACUAUAAUACCGGAGCUCCAAUACUGUAGAUAGUAUAGGAGCCUAACUCUUAUAAUAAAUAAGACUUUUAUUUUGAGAUAUGUGUCAAAAAACUGUACGGCUGCAAAAUACUUAAGCCCAAUUAUUAUUUGCGUUUCGGUCUGUCACCUUAUCAUUCUAACCCUAUCUCAUCUCACACUUCCAGUUGAUGAUUAGCUCUAAUAUCAAAUAUAACGAUCUAGCCCACUAGCAAUUAUAACUUACUGGGUCCAAACCAACAACCCAAGAUGUUUAAAUCCGCGCCGGUUAAUAUUAUUAUUAGUAGAUAUGAUCUCUUAUAUUUCCAAUCAUAACUUCAUUCCCCUUCGAUAUAGAACUAUUAGAUGUCACAGUUGUCAAUAUUUUUUCAUAAUAGAGGGUGUGAUUUUUAAUUUUUCAAUUUAUUUAUUUAUUUUUAUUUUUGUGUUUUUAAGGAAGUCUUGUGAUUUCAGAACGGCCGAUAAUGGCCUAUUGGUCGAUAGGGGUGAGAAUAGACAGGUUGAUUCUUGCUUUGCAGUUUUUUUUUUUUUUUUCAAAUUGAAUCUAAUCGGACUAGAUGCACAGACCAAAUCAUACUGAAUCUGAAUAAUUAAUUCUAAGAUGUAAUUAAUAUGAUUAGUUUCACGUUAAAAUCUUUACUUUGAAUAUUAUGAUUGCGAAAAUCUUAGUUAUUUAACUAUUCUCAAAAUUUAUAGUAUAUUUGUCACGCCCCGGAUUACUUGUUUCCCCGGGCUCGCUAACAGACCCGCCGUAUACAUAGGUAUUUUUCCUGUAUACGAAGCGAAAAAGUAGAAGUACCUGUAAUCAUACAAUACUACCAACAGUAGUAUACAGCAGCUAGGAAAAUAAACCAUAUAAAAAUGGUGGUUGAAUACAUACAUGUCAUCCAAGGUAUACAAACACUCGCUCUAGCGAGAUACAACAACAGUAUGUAAAGACCGAAAAACUACAACUACCUGUAGCUGGUGCUCCUCUAGCUCUGCGACUGGUCUGGAAGGGCUCUAGCUCGCGACGCCCUUGCCACGAUCAUGAUCAGUAACAGCAGCAGCCGAAGGCGACGGCUCUGCAAAAACAGUGAUAACAUCUAGGCGUGAGAACUACUGUAAAAACAAGUAGUCCUCAGUGGGUACCGCCCUCAACUCAUUGGCUCACCCACUAAGUCUACAGAUCUAAGCUCAGUGAUAGAAAAGGAAGCUGGAACAAAUCUACAGCUAUCUGCCACUAUCCUAUCAUGCUCUAAUACUACUAUCUGUAGAGUAAUGCAACCUCAGACCCAAAUCCAUAGGGACUGUGAAUACACCCGUCCCAGGGACUGUGAACGCACCCGUCCCACUGGUCUAACAACCAAAACUCACGUGCCCUCGGCACAAACUGAUGCAAAACCAGCAAUCUGGGUCCACCGUCAACCCCGACGGCACCCAACAGUCUGAAACAGCCUAGACACUGCUGUAAAAAUAAGCUCUGCAUCUCCGCACGAGCGUAACUGCAUUCUACACUAUUCCGAAUAUGCACUACCAACAAACUGCGGUGAUACAGAUCUACUACAGCUCCUAAACUUUCAGCAUAUCAAAUGCACACAACAGUGUGGAUACUAUCCGCGACAACUCCCGAGGCUGUUUGAGUAUCAAAUGCGCACUAACAGCGGGGAUACGAAGCACAACAGCUUCAGAAGUUAUCUGAGUAUCAAAUGCGCACAACAGCGGGGAUACGAAGCACAAAAGCUUAAGGAGCGAACAGAAAGGAUAGUGUAGAACCUAUAGUUAAAAUAUUACCCAAGCUCGGCAUCCCGCCCGAGUGUAAAUGCAUUCUAAACUAUCCUGAGUAUCCAUCGCGCUAAAACUGCAGUGAUACAAACCAACCCCGGCUCCUAGAGCUAAAUCAGGCAGUUUAAGCAUAUGACGGGUUAAAAUCGCUGGUUUUCUCCUAAGUCAAAUUCCAAAUCCAACAUAUAUAUUCAUCUAAUUAAUAGUCAUGCUCCCAAUUCAGAUUUCAUACAUGCUACAAUCAAUGAAUUUGAGCUACAACAUGAUAUACAAUAACCGAAAUCAUACAUUUGACUACAAGCACUUAGGAGCGAAACCGAUGAAACACCCACCUCUAGUGCAAUUCCCAGGCAGCAAGAAGGUCACAAAUUGCUAGAGGCCUCAGCCGAAAUUACCCACAACUAGCAACAAAGCUACUCGAAAGAUCUACACCCAAAAAAUCCAUCAAAAUCCAUCAACUCACCUAAUUUCAGCACUUAAGCUUAAUUGUCUCAACUCCAAUGUUAAAACUCACCUAAUAUCCUCCAAUUCAGGUGAGGCAAGUUACAAAACUAGUGAAUAAUGAUGGAGUAUCAAUCUCAGGUCCAAAAUCCUGCUCCUUCCAAGAAUUGCACCAAGAAAAACCCAAAAUCAGAUUUUCAGCUCAAAGUCACUAGCAGUCCAGAAAAAUAUGGAAUCGACCAAGCUAACCUCAACCAAAAUCUAAAAUUCAGGGUUUUCUGGAUUCCUCAGGAAGUCUAGAAUCCAGCAAACCAAGUUUCACCGCAAUCUGACCUUCCUACGUCUCACAGGAGCCAAAACACCGAAGGUCAUCACUAGAAGACUGCAGAAUCAACACUCUACCAUUUUCCAAUUGAAAGAUUGGACGAAAUUCGAGGAAAAUCGAGGAGUGGAAGAAAAAUCAGAGGUGCUACUGUGAAGAGAGAGUGAAAGAGCUCAGCAGGGUCACUCUCCAUCUAUUUAUAGGGUGUUGGAAUGGUAGAAUAAGCCCCAAGAAUAGCUGCUGCAAUCUGGUGUCCCUGCAGUCUCGGGCACUUUCGGGCGCCCGGACCCACCUUAUGGGCGCCCGAAUCCUCCAGGCUACAUAAAGUUUCCUCCUCGGACUCUCCGCCCGCGGUGCGUUGCGCCCGUAUCUGGCUGCGGCGGACCUCACCUACCACCAGCCACACGUCAGCGCAAACGAUAGUCACGAGAUGAACUUUCGGACCCACAUCCAUGCGCCCGAAACAUGGACCCGAAUUGGCUUCCAGUUCUGCUCAGUUCUGCACUCAACUUCUGGGCGACCCAAAGCCAGUUUUGGGCGCCCAAAUCUGUCAAAACUCUAGUUUUGCUUAUUUGAGUACGACCAGUCCAUUUCUGCAUCCAUUUCGCGCAGAAACGACCCGACUCAGUCUGACACUCUCCAGAUGUGUCGACCAGUCACUAACACUGAAGCCAAUCCUAUCCAAAGCUCAGAAGCACUACAUCCUCCCCCACUACAAAAAGUUUCGUCCGCGAAACUGAAUCACACCUCAAUCCUGAGCUUCAAAAAGGUAGGGGUAGGAUUCUCUCAUCACCGUCUCAGGCUCCCAAGUCGCCUCCCGCUCCUCGUGAUUACUCCACUACACCUUUACAAAAGGUAUGACCCAGUUGCGCAAUUUCCUCGACUCAUGAGCCAGAAUCCGCACCGGUCGCUCCUCGUAUCUCAGGUCCUUGCCAAUCUCUAGCGGUGUGAAGUCAAUCACGGGGGAAGGGUCGAACACGUAUCUCUUCAAAGCCGAGACGUGGAAAACAUCGUGAAUGCGGGCUAGUCGUAGAGGUAGAGCAAUCCUGUAAGCCACUGACCUGACUCGUUCCAAUACCUCAAAAGGGCCUACAAAAACGUGGACUAAGCUUUCCACGUACCCCAAAACGGCGUAUCCCUCUGGACGGCGAGACUUUAAGGAAUACAUAAUCUCCCACCUGGAACUCCAAGUCUCAUCUCCGGGUAUCAGCAUAGCUCCUCUGCCGACUCUGGGCUGCUAAAAUGUGCCGUCGCACCACUUUCACUUUUUUCCUCUGUCUCAAUCAGAAUCUCAGGCCCAAGCAUUUUCCUCUCACCCACAUCACUCCAAAACAAAGGGGAUCGACACCUGCGUCCAUACAACGCUUCAAACGGAGCCAUCUGGAUGCUCGCUUGAUAGCUAUUGUUGUACGCAAACUCAGCCAGUCUCAAUAUCGAUACCACCCUCCUUGAAAGUCCAGGACACAUGCCCUCAACAUGUCCUUAAGAGCCUGAAUGGUCCGCUCUGACUGACCAUCCGUCUGUGGGUGAAAUGCUAUGCUGAACUGCAACUCGUCAUCUUGAUACAUUUUAGUGCCACCGGGGUGUACACUAUAGGGAGAUUGAUGCGCUUCUUGCAUAAUCGCCCUUCGCAACUCGUCAUCUUUAGGCACACACCAUCGAUUUCGAAAUCGAAGUGUGCCAUUAGCUUCAAUACCAAAGUCUUCGGCAUUGCCAUUCUCAACUUCCCCUCGUAUCUUUUGAAGAUAAAGAUCCGAGGCUUGAAGAUCCUUGAUUCUUUCCAAUAGGGUCGGUUGCACAACUAAUGCGGCAAGUGUAGCCGGCACUCCCGGCACUACCACUUCCGACCCGAAUCGUUGCAUCUCCUUUUGCAAUAGCGGUUGGGGCGUAAUUGCCGUCGCUAAGUUCUCCGCCGAUUUUCUACUUAGAGCAUCGGCCACGACAUUAGCUUUCCCGGGGUGGUAUAGUAUAGUGACAUCAUAGUCCUUUAACAAUUCCAACCACCGCCGUUGUCGCAUAUUCAACUCCUUCUGGGUGAACAAGUACUUCAGACUUUUAUGAUCUGUGUAGACUUCACAAUGCUCACCAUAUAAGUAAUGCCUCAAAAGCUUUAGCGCGAAAAUCACCGCGGCUAACUCAAGGUCGUGAAUCGGGUAGUUCUUCUCGUAGCUCUUCAGUUAGCGCGAUGCAUAUGCAAUGACUUGCCCAUUUUGCAUUAACACACACCCGAGACCAACAUAAGAGGCAUCACUAUACACUACAAAAGUCUCUCCCGGAGUCGGCAAGGCAAGCACCGGGGUCGACGUCAACCUGUUCUUCAACUCUUCGAAGCUCCGAUCGCAAUCGUCACUCCAAACAUACUUUACUCCUUUAUGCGUGAGGCACGUUAGUGGAGUGGUUAUUUUGGCGAACCCCUCCACGAACCGCCGGUAGUAGCCCGCAAGUCCAAGAAAACUGCGGACCUCCGCUACAUUCGUCGGGCGAGGCCAAUCCUUUAUUGCCUCAACUUUCUUCGGGUCUACCGACACUCCGUCGCCCGAUACCACAUGACCUAAGAAUGUGACCUCCUUUAGCCAAAAGUCACACUUUUUCAACUUUGCAUAGAGCUUCUCCUGUCUGAGUAUCUGCAACACAGCUCUCAGAUGCUCUUCAUGCUCCUCUUCACUUUUCGAGUAAACCAACACAUCGUCUAUAAACACCACGACGCAUCGAUCCAACAGUGGUCUAAAGACUCGGUUCAUCAAGUCCAUAAACGCUGCCGGGGCGUUAGUAAGCCCAAACGGCAUUACCGUGAACUCAUAAUGGCCAUACCGCGUACGGUACGCCGUUUUGUGCACAUCCUUCGGCCUGAUCUUUAAUUGAUGAUACCCCGACUGGAGAUCAAUCUUCGAAUACACCUUGGACCCUUGCAACUGAUCGAAUAGAUCGUCAAUCCUUGGUAACGGGUACUUGUUCUUUAUCGUCACUUUGUUCAACUCGCGAUAAUCUACGCAGAGUCGAAGUGUGCCAUCCUUUUUCUUCACAAAUAGCACCGGAGCUCCCCAUGGUGACACGCUCGGCCUCACGAAGCCUUUAUCAAGCAAGUCCUGUAGUUGGCCUUUCAACUCCUUCAGCUCCACCGGUGCCAUUCUAUACGGAGCCUUCGAAACUGGUUCCGCCCCGGGAAUCAAGUCAAUGACAAACUCAACUUUCCUGUCCGGUGGCAGUCCCGGUAACUCCACCGGAAACACAUCCGGAAACUCGCACGCUACUCGAAUAUCUCCCAACUCUGGGUACUCUUUUCGAGCAUCCACCAUGGUUGCCAAAUAGGCCUUACACCCCCCUUUGAUCAUUCUCUUCGCCCUCACAGACGAUAUAGUCGCCGCGAAGCGCCUACUUUUGCACGCUUGGUAGAAUAACUCUUCUUGAUUAGGCUCACGAAAAGCGAUCACCUUGCUUUCACAAUCUAUCACCGCAUAGUACUUGGAGAGCCAGUUGGUCCCCAAGAUAACAUCAAAUCCCCACAUCUGAUCUAGCACUAGCAAAUCAAUCGGCAUAAUCCAAUCGCCUAUUUGCACUGGGCACGCCAAACACUCAUUGUGGACACUGAAUGAAUGUUCUGGGGCGUUCACCCACCAGUAAUCCUCAUUGUACACCAGUAAUCCUCGUUGUGAACACUGAAUGAAUGUCCCCAGCACCGCCCGCCGUUCUUUUCUUGCCCUUGUCUUUCGACUCGGCAAUAGCUUCCCUUUCUUCACGUACAUGGGCGCUACCGUGCUCCGCCCACAAGGCUCUAUCGAAGACCUCCGCAAAGGUCGACAGCUUCAAAAUUUGCACUUUCUCAUAUAUCCGGGGCUGGAGUCCUCGCAAGAACCAAUCCGCCCGCUCCCGAUCAUCACGAACAACAUCGGGAACACAGUCUAUGAUGUGGGAGAACUCUUUCUCGUAUUCCCCCACCGAUCGAUCACCCUGUCUCAACUUGCGAAACUUUUCUUGUAGCUUCCGCUUCACCGUGUCGGGGAAGUAGUUCGCGAAUACCGCUCUCUUGAACUCCUCCCAAAGCAUAAGCGGAAGAUCGGUAGGACGAUCCCGCUUCACUCGCUUCCACCACACCUUUGCCGCUUUCUCAAGACAAUGGGUGACGAGGUACACUUUAUCCUUCUCCGAGGUAUUGAGGUCCUCGAAGAGCGUCUCCAUUGAGUCGAUCCACGACUCCACAACCGCCGGCUCCACCAAACCGCCUUCGAAGGCAGGUGGGUCGAACUUCUUGAACUGAAUGAGAGCCGCCAACGUGCGCUCUCGCUCCGCUUCUACCGCCGCGCUAUCGGGAUUUGAGGUUCCCGAUCCGGCCGGUACUACCGUAACUGGAACAGCCGCUGCUGCCGCCGCUCCCUCGUCGACGCUCGGCACUACCAUAGGGGGCGCGACACGCUCGACACCCGCCUGGGCCGCCGCCGCCUGCUGAAGCUCCAAGGUCUCCUGGAGCCGCUGAAUCUGUUCCCCUUGGCGUUGAACAGACUCUGCUUAUUGCCGUACUACGCCGAUAAGCGCGGCCAUCUGCUCCCUAAGCUCUCCGUCGCCACUCGCUCCGGAUGGCUCGGGCGCCGCAUUCGACUCCUCAGGCAUCGAACUUGUCUGCGGUCGUCCACGAGGUGCCAUUGCUUCUUGAAAAGAAGCAACUCGCAUUAGUCACUUAGCCAACAUUACUUGACCAUACCCAAUUAGGCGAAAGCAACAUACACAUUCAUCCUUGCCUCAAGCGUCAUGUCGUCGGCCGCCCGACACAACACUAGAAGUAGAGGAUAAACGAAAUUUAAGCUUAGCCUCUAAUCACAUUAGAGACGUCCCAUCUUAACCCAAUCACAUGCUUUCGCUAACUUUGAUCCCACGUCACUCACGUUUCCUAGAUCCUUAAGGCCUUCCAAUCCUAAGGGUCUCUAGGUCCAUUCCUAUUCUUUCACUAUUGGCUCUGAUACCCACGAUAUCUGUCCACGCCCCGUGAGCCGAUACCAAUUUGGCGCGCCGAGCACCGUCAAACAACGCCGAACGGACAGAGUUUCCCUAUCCGCCCAAGGCUCAUCACGUGUUCAAAUUCAAAACAAGAAAUGCACUAGCGGAAAAUACACAAACGACUUACACGAGGUAAGCAAUAGCCAUUAGUGAAAGAAAGAAAACUAAACAUUCACAUUGUACUAUAUUCAUUUUUGAUCAUAUACAUUGCAUCAUCUUGUUCAUUUUCGAAUUCCUUACAUUUCAUUUCAUAAUUUCUUUCUUACUAAUCACAUUACCUUCAUGUACAAAAGAUGAUCAUAGGGUACUUUACUACAAAAUGAAACCCAAGCUUUGGUGGCCUCUGACUAAGGCGCGAUACAUUUACCUCGGUCGCUCGCCGGCUCGCAUCGGUCCACGGCUCUGUGAAAUAGUGGGUGAGAACUACAACAAAGUUCCCAGUGGUUCGGCCUCAACAUCACCAACUUUCCCACUAGGACUAGCUCAGGCAUAAUGAAAAAUAAGCUGCAUAUAGUAACCAAUCUAUAUCAUGAUGGCUAAUAUGCCUGAACAAUAAAGCAGAAAUAUGCUCAACAUUAAAUAAAUGCAGAUUAUACAAAUUCUUUGUUCUUUUCACUUUACUCUUUGUUCUUUGUUCUUUGUUUUUUGCACUUGUUCUUUGCUCUUUGUUCUUUAAUCUCAAGGCUAACCCGGGGGCAUCGCCACAUUGACUUGCUUCACAUUAAGUCCAUCAUCGCAGGAACUCACCCGCUAGGACCGUCCUUCGGGUUUACUCCAACCCAUGAUGCAUAACUCCGGAGCGCAUCGCCCGAGGGGGAUCGACCGCCCUCGAGCACGGAACUCAUAGCAAGUAUGAUCAUAUCCUUAACUCAAAGGAUUUAUAAGUUCAAUCUUGACUUUACACUAGCUCUAGUGUUCUUUCAGCACUUUUAUUGCCACUCUAGCAAUCAUUGUUCUUUACCAUUCUUUACUCUUGCUAUCUCUAGCAAUUAUAUUCUUUACAUUCUUUACUUUUGGCUACCUCUAACACUUCAUGUUCUUUACUCCCCACAUUACUUUAACUUUAAGCAUUGUCAUUUUCAUCAUUCUUUACAUUACAUUGGUUCUUUACCUCACACUAUCUCUAGUGUCAUUUCACUUUAACUUUAUCAAAUGUCACUCGAUCUAUGUCAUUGUGUCACUCUGUUCUUUUGCUCACUUUGGGUGCUCACUUUUCUCUCAUUCAUACACAUAGGGCUUUCGACGUUUACAUAGUUCUCAUUCAUCAUAUUAUGCAAGUUGUACUCACAAUCAUGCAUCAUUACAUUUUUAUCACCACUUUACCCUAAAUGCAUGCAACAAUAUAUAUACACAUGCUCAAAUGAAUGACACAUUAGGCAUAGAGAGAAGUUCAAUGAGUUUGAGAAGCACCACCCACCUCGUAGGUCUAUUUAGGUGCUCCGACGAUUUUCUUGGGAUUUUUAGACUCCUUGUUCUUUACCUGCGGCAUAACGAAGCCAACUUAGGUCAUUUUGCUCAUAACUUUACAUCGGCUUUCCGUAACGCUAAUCCGAGCGCACCAACGCGUCGGAAAUACCCCCAAUUAGGUUUCUAGAGGGUCAAUUGCACUUAGAAGUUCCCAUGAGUAAAAGCCCCAAUUUGGGUGCCCUAGCUCCAUAGCAUCAUCAAACCUAGGGUUUGAUCUCAAUGGAAAGCAAAAGUAAUUUCAUUAUACUCUAAAAAGUCCAUUAGAACCAUCUUUAGACAAAUCAAAACCCUACUUAGGGUUUCACCAUGAGAGGUGAUGAAGCUCACCUCAAGCUUCACCAUUUCUAUGGUCUUGAUCUCAAAAGAAGCAAAAGAAAAGCUUCAAAUACUCUAAAGGUUACAUAAAAAUCAUCUUUGCUCUAAUCCAAACCCUAGUUUGGAAUUUAACAUCAGAAGGGGCAAAUCUUACCUCUAAGCUUGCUCCUUUCUUGCACUAUAGAGAAGGAAGAUGGAGUUGCCUCACUCCAAUGGCUUCUUCUCCACUUUCUUCUUCUUUUCCUCCCUUUUCUUGUCUUCUUCUUCUCCUCCUUGGCUUCUAGAGAGAGAGAGGGAGAGAAGAGAGUGUGAGAGGAUGAGAAUGAGAGAAAUGUCUCAUUUGUCCCCUUACUAUACUCUAUGGGUUGCAAAAUUGCAGCUAAACCCCUCAACAUUCACUCUUUCACACAGCCUGGACUGGGCUGUUCGCACAGGCGGGGACCGGUCUCUCCUUCAGGGACCGGUUCCCGAAGGCUCUCCCCGCACAGCCAGAGCUGCUGCGCGCAGGGCAACCGGUCUCUCUUUGGGAGACCGGUCUCUCGGGGACCAGUCUCUCAGGCAGGGACCGGUUCCCGAGAGCUAAUUUCUCAGGACUUAGCCGAUUUUUCGGCUGUCUCAUUUCAUACGCGUUCGGGGACCGGUCUCUCCCACCAGGGACCGGUCCCCGAGAACUCAAAACUGCAGAAUGCAGAUUUUGAUUCUAUAGCUCUCGAAAACCUCCCGUAACUCACUUUUAAUCAUUUUAACACCUUCGGACUUUCCAAAGUGUACCGCCCUCGCACUUUGGUCAAUUUGACUAAAGUUCGACAUUUUUAUUUUCCGAAUUUUCGGUAUAUUACACUGGCAGACUCUGAAACUUGCCAGCAGGUACCUGAUACUCGGUCUUUAUUUGUUGACAAGUCAAACACUGAGCCACAAAUCUGCUAAUGUCCCUCUUCAUUCCAUUUCCACCAAAACUGGGCCUUUAAGUCCUUAUACACCUUGAUUCCACCGGGGUGAACCGUAUAAGGUGAACAGUGAGCCUCUCUCAAAAAGUCCUCUCGGAUCUCUGAAUCCAUAGGUACACACAGUUGAUCCCUGUACCGCAGUACUCCCAAACUGUCUACAGCAAAACCCUCAGUCUGUCCCCUCUCAAACCGCUCUCGAAUCCUCGACAAGUGUAGAUCUCCACUCUGUUUCUCUCGGAUCCUAUCCAACAGAGUGGGUUGCAAGACGACAGACAUCAGUCUUACAGUCGAUCCAGGGGACACUAUCUCGAGUCUCAGCCGCUGCAGCUCCUCGAGUAACGGCCUCUGCUGAGUGAUCAACAAGCUCAAGCUCUGCACUGCCUUCCUGCUCAACGCAUCUGCCACCACAUUUGCCUUGCCGAGAUGAUACUGAAUACUAAUAUCAUAGUCCUUCAGUAACUCCAACCACCGACGUUGCCUUAGGUUCAACUCCCUCUGGGUGAACAGAUACUUGAGACUUUUAUGAUCGGUGAAAACCUCGCAGUGCUCACCAUAUAAGUAAUGCCGCCACAACUUUAAGGCAAAGACUACCGCAGCAAGCUCCAAGUCAUGCGUAGGGUUAUUCUUCUCGUAAUCCUUUAACUGCAGUGAAGUAUAAACAAUUACCCUACCAUGUUGUAUCAGCACACAGCCCAACCCGCUGUGCGAUGCAUCACUGUAGAUCACAAAUCCUUCCCCCAUCACAGGAAGGGUAAGGAUAGGAGCUGACAUCAACCUUUGUCUCAACUCAUCAAAGCUCCUCUGACAAUCCUCACUCCAGACAAACUUAAUUCCUUUACGAGUCAGUCGAGUGAGUGGUGUGAAAAGCUUCGCAAAGCCUUCCACAAACCGACGGUAAUAACCAGCAACCCUAAGGAAACUCCUCACCUCUGUCACCGUCGUGGGUCUGGGCCAAUCCCGACUAGCAUCAAUCUUCUUCGGGUCCAUUGCCACUCCAACCGCAGAUAUCACGUGGCCCAAGAAAGCAACCUCCCACAACCAAAACUCGCACUUCUUUAACUUGGCAUACAACUUCUCUCGCAAAAGCUGUAGCACAGUCCUCAAGUGCUCCUCAUGCUCGGCAUCGCUCCGAGAGUAUAUCAGAAUGUCAUCAAUGAAGACUACCACUAACCUAUCCAAGUACGGCUUGAACACUCUGUUCAUCAAAUCCAUGAAUGCGGCAGAGGCAUUCGUCAAUCCAAACGGCAUCACCGUAAACUCAUAAUGCCCGUACUGAGUCCGAAAAGCCGUCUUGGGAACAUCCUCGGCCCUCACCCUCAACUGGUGGUAACCUGACUAGAGAUCAAUCUUCUAGAAAACACAAGAUCCUAGCAGCUGAUCAAACAGAUCAUCAAUGCGCGGCAAAGGAUUCUUGUUCUUGAUGGUCACCUUAUUCAGCUCCCAGUAAUCCACGCACAACCUGAGCGAACCAUACUACUUCUUUACAAACAACACUGGUGCUCCCCAAGGCGACGCACUGGGUCUCACAUACCCCUUGUCCAUCAAAUCCUGAAGCUCCGCCUUUAGCUCUCUCAGCUCCGCCGGUGCCAUCCUGUAAGGUACCUUCAAGAUUGGUACAGUUUCAGGAACUACAUCAAUCACAAGCUUUAUCUCCCUCUCCGGCGGCAUCGUCGUCAACUCCGAGGGAAAGCACGUCCGAAAACUCGCGGACUAUAGGGAUAUCCUCUAGUCCCGGCGCCGCCGUAGGCACCUCUGUCACAGUCGCCAGAAAAGCAACGCAUCCUCUACUCAUCAACUGUCGAGCCCUCGCCAAAGACAUCCAAGUGGAAAACAAAGUACUCCUGCAGCCUCAGAAAGUGAACUCCUCCUGGCCUGGCUCACAGAACGUCACAGUCCUCGCUCCACAGUCGAUAGUAGCAUAGUACCGCGCUAGCCAAUCCAUACCGAGUACUACAUCAAAGUCCUGCAGUUGCCCUAACACCAACAAGUCUGCGAGCAUGAUCCAAGAAUCUAACUGCACCGAACAUGACCAACAACACUCUGCAACCUGUAAAACAUGGUCGGGGAUUUGCACAUCCCGUGCCUGUGACAAUGACCCUAACUCUAGACCAUACAACAAUACAAAUGCUCGGCUAAUGACAGAAUGUAAGGCACCGGUAUAAAAAAGAGUAUGAGUACGAAUGCUGAAAAUCAGAAUGAUACCUGCCACCACUCGAUCGGCUGCUGUAGAGUCCUCCACCUGAGCUGCGUAAACUCUGCCACUCGGAGCCUGCUGUCGCCGCUCAGCCUGACGCAGCACAGACGAUCUGUCCUCCUGGCGGAAACUCGGUGCUGCUCCAAAGAACUGGUAGGAUGCAGGCUGCGCUGAUGCAGUGGAUGGUGCUGGGGAUGCUGCACGAGGACAAGCUAAUCUCAUAUGUCCGGGCUGACCAUAAGUGUAGCAGCGGCCCUCUCUUUGCUCAUAUUGUCAGGGCCAGUGUGGUCCCCCACAGAUCACGCACUGCAGCGUCUUCGGUGACCGUCCCUGCUGAUGGGAUCCCUGGAACGCUGACGCCCCGAUGACCCACGACCCUUAGAUCGAGAUCGUGGAGGUCUCGGUGGACGUCUGCUGCUCAUCUGAUCGCCGUCAUCUGGAAAAGGGCGCUUCUUAUCCUGGCUCUGUUCCGGUGCCAUAGUCCGCUCCUGGACUGAUAUACCUCCGUGCUCCACCCAGAGUGUCUGCUGCACAGAUGCUCGUGGCUCACCGCCCGACCACUGAGUAAUAGUCUCGCACAUUCUCUGCAAUAGUACUCCCUGCUGCUUGAUCACCUCUGUCAAGGUAGCCAACUGCUCUCUCAAAUCAGGGGGUGCACUCGCCUCUGGUCGUGCACUCGGCUCUGCCUGCUCAGGCAUCUCACACGGUGCGGUACGAUCCCGGGUCGACGAUCGACCUCGGCGACGAUACAUAGCUGAAAGGAACAGAGUAGGGUCAGACAAAACACAAACACUCUCGACCCAAUCAAACGAAAGUCUAGAAGGCGGUCUCUGUUUCUCCUCAAAAUUAUGUCGUCUGCAGCCAACAUAAUUUUUCUGGACCGAAACAAAAACUCCUUCAAUCACUCCCUCCGCUUCAGGAGGAGUUAGAACAAUCAAUCAGUGACUUUCGCGAUAAAUCACGCCUCUCGCAUCUUGUCUUCCUAAGGUUUGCCAACGUAGGGUUCCUAGGUCCCAAUGACCUACAGCUAAGCUCUGAUACCAACUUAAUCUGUCACGCCCCGGAUUACUCGUUUCUCCGGGCUCGCUAACAGACCCGCCGUAUACAUAGGUAUUUUUUCUGUAUACGAAGCGAAAAAGUAGAAGUACCGGUAAUCAUACAAUACUACCAACAGUAGUAUAGAGCAGCUAGGAAAAUAAACCAUAUAAAAACGAUGGUUCAAUACAUACGUGUCAUCCAAGGUAUACAAACACUCGCUCUAGCGAGAUACAACAACAGUAUGUAAAGACCCAAAAACUACAACUACCUGUAGCUGGUGCUCCUCUAGCUCUGCGACUCGGCUGGAAGGGCUCUAGCUCGCGAUGCCCUUGCCACGAUCAUGAUCGGUAACAGCAGCAGCCGAAGGCAACGGUUCUGCAAAAACAGUGGUAACAUCUGGGUGUGAGAACUACUGUAAAAACAAGUAGUUCUCAGUGGGUACCGCCCUCAACUCAUCGGCUCACCCACUAAGUCUACAGAUCUAAGCUCAGUGAUAGAAAAGGAAGCUGGAACAAAUCUACAGCUACAUGCCACUAUCCUACCAUGCUCCAAUACUACUAUCUGUAGAGUAAUGCAACCUCAGACCCAAAUCCAUAGGGACUGAAUACACCAGUCCCAGGGACUGUGAACGCACCCGUCCCACCUGUCGAAUUCUAAAUGCUACCUCCAUACUAAUCAGUCCGUAGAGAGCAAGUCCAACCAGGACACUGUACAACGCAAACGCACAAAGCCCUACUCCGGAGUGGCACACGUGGGCGCUACCCAACCGAGUAUGCAAGCGUAUCUCUAUUGAGCUCAAUCAGACUCUCACAGGCUAUAAUCAAAUAAACAUGGUCCAACUGGUCUAACAACCAAAACUCACGUGCCCUCGGCACAAACUGAUGCAAAACCAGUAAUCUGAGUCCACCGUCAACCCCGACGACACCCGACAGUCUGAAACAGCCUAGACACUGCUGUAAAAAUAAGCUCUGCAUCUCCGCACGAGCGUAACUGCAUUCUACACUAUUCCGGGUAUCCACCACCAACAAACUGUGGUGAUACAGAUCUAUUACAGCUCCUAAACUUUCAGCAUAUCAAAUGCGCACAACAGUGUGGAUACUAUCCGCGACAACUUCCGAGGCUGUUUGAGUAUCAAAUGCGCACUAACAGCGGGGAUACGAAGCACAACAGCUUCAGAAGUUAUCUGAGUAUCAAAUGCGCACAACAGUGGGGAUACGAAGUACAAAAGCUUAAGAAGCAAACAGAAAGGAUAGUGUAGAACCUACAGUUAAAAUAUUACCCCAAGCUCGGCAUCCCGCCCAACUGUAAAUGCAUUCUAAACUAUCCUGAGUAUCCACUGCGCAGAAACUGCGGUGAUACAAACCAACCCCGGCUCCUAGAGCUAAAUCAGGCAGUUUAAGCGUAUGACGGGUUAAAAUCGCUGGUUUUCUCCUAAGUCAAAUUCCAAGUCCAACAUGUAUAUUCAUCUAAUUAAUAGUAAGGCUCCCAAUUCAGAUUUCAUACAUACUACAAUCAAUGAAUUUGAGCUACAACAUGAUAUACAAGACCCGAAAUUAUACAUGUGACUACAAACACUUAGGAGCGAAACCGAUGAAACACCCAACUCUAGUGCAAUUUCCAGGCAGCAAGAAAGUCACAAAUUGCUGCAGGCCUCAGCCGAGAUUACCCACAACCAGCAACAAAGCUACUCGAAGGAUCUACACCCAAAAAAUCCAUUAAAAUCCAUCAACUCAGCUAAUUUCAGCACUUAAGCUUAAUUGUCUCAACUCCAAUGUCAAAACUCACCUAAUAUACUCCAAUUCAGGUGAGGCAAGUUACAAAACCAAUGAAUAAUGAUGGAGUAUCAAUCUCAGGUCCAAAAUCCUGCUCCUUCCAAGAAUUGCACCAAGAAAAACCCAAAAUCAGAUUUUCAGCUCAAAGUCACUAGCAGUCCAGAAAAAUAUGGAAUCGACCAAGCUAACCUCAACCAAAAUCUGAAAUUCAGGGCUUCAUGGAUUCCUCAGGAAGUCUAGAAUCUAGCAAACCAAGUUUCACUGUAAUCCGGCCUUCCUACGUCGCACACGAGCCAAAAUACCGAAGAUCAUCGCUGGAAGACUGCAAAAUCAGCACUCCACCACUUUCCAAUUGAAAGAUUGGAUGAAAUCCGGGGGAAAUCGAGGAGUGGAAGAGAAAUAAGAGGUGCUACUGUAAAGAGAGAGUGAAAAGAGCUCACCAGAGUCACUCUCCACCUAUUUAUAGGGUGUUGGAAUGGUAGAAUAAGCCCCAAGAAUAGCUGCUGCAAUCUGGUGUCCCUGCAGUCUCGGGCACUUCCGGGCGCCCGGACCCACAUUAUGGGCGCCCGAAUCCUCCAGGCUACACAAAGCUUCUUCCUCGGACUCUCCGCCCGCGGUGUGCUGCGCCCGUAUCCGGCUCCGGCGGACCUCACCUACCACCAGCCACGUGUCAGCGCAAACGAUACUCACGAGGUGAACUUUCGGACCCACAUCCGGGCGCCCAAAACAUGGACCCGAAUUGGCUACCACUUCUGCUCAAUUCUGCACUCAAUUUCUGGCCGACCCAAAGCCAGUUCUGUACGCCCGAAUCUGGCAAAACUCGAGUUUUGCUUAUUUAAGUGCGCCGAGUCCAUUUCUGCAUCCAUUUCGCGCAAAAAAGACUCCGACUCAGUCCGACACUCUCCAGAUGUGUCGACCAGUCACUAACACUGAAGCCAAUCCUUUCAAAAGCUCAGAAGCACUACAAUAUUAAUUUUUAAAAUUUUAAACUAAUAUAUAUUAAAUUAUUAAAAAAAAUUAAUAAAUUCAUUGAUUUUAUUUAACUUCUCAACUUUUAACUUCUAAUAAAUUAAUGCUGGUUCAGGAGUUCUCCGCACGUUUUAAUAAUAAGUUAAAAAGCCAAAAAGGCAGUUAAUGAUGAUGCGAAGCACCUAAACAAAAGCAAAAGUGCAAAGACAGCGACGUAAACCAGACAGCAGGAAUACGCGUCUCCUUCGACGUCGUUCGCGAGCUGUGUAGAACGUUUGUCUUUCCAUAUAUCCAUUGGCUGGAACUACAGCAUAGUCUAUUGAGCAAUGUUAUUGGNUAUAUAUAUAUAUAUAUAUAUAUAUAUUUACAUUAACCCACUUAUUUUAUAAAAUUAGUUUAUUCACUAAAAUCGGAAAGAGAUUAUAUCAAAUUUUGGAUCAAGAGUGAAAGCUAUAUAUUCCCUACAAAGAAUGUAGAUAAAGUGUUUGAUAAUUCCUCGAAAAACUUUGAAAAUUUAUUUUUUGAAAAAACAAAUUCAUGAAAAACCCAAUCUUUUAGAUCUUUUUAUUUUCGCAUAAAAAAUUUAGGGAAUGAACACGCUACUUUUUCAAAAAUUUGAAAAAAAAAAAUCUAUCUUUUUUUGAAAACCAAACAGACAAAAAUUAUUUUUGAGUCAGAAAAGUAUCACCUCACAGUAUUUUCUAGGAAACCAAACACUCCCUUAUUGGUUUAAAAUUUUCUAAAUGGGCAGACUAUAUAUGUUGUAUACCUUAUACCCUUUAAAUCCUAAGGUUUAUAAACCAUCCGAUCCAUGAAGCCAUAAAGAGACUAGUACAUAAGAUUUAGGGACAACUGUUUAUAUACUUUUGAAAAGUUUUCAAUUUUCUGAUUUACCCCUCUUAGAAGGCUAAUAUUGAAAAUACAUUUUUUACGUUCCAAUCUAUUUCAAAUAUUCUCCUAGAGUUAAAUUCUGUUAAUAAACUGUUGGUAAUAAUUGUUAUCUGUAUAAAAUUACUAGUUUGCCCUUUCAAAUGUACCCUUCCAACAUCACCAACUUCUCUUAUUUGCCCUUAAGUUACGAGCACAAAAAGUAUUUUGAUUUUUAAUCUUUUCAAAUAUACCCUUCUACCAUCACCAAUAUUUCUUAUUUGCCCUCAAGUUACGGGCGAAAGCGGUAUUUUAAUUUUUUUUAACUCUAGUAAAUAUUUAACUCAUGUUUAAUCCAAGUUAAGUUAACGGGUGGUAACUGUAUGGAUAUUUUGAAAUAACGGAAGAAUAUAUGAGAGAUAUAUUAGAAAAAAAAAAAAGAAUAAAUGAGAUAUUUCUAAAAUAUUGAGAGGUAUAUAGGCAAUUAUCCCUAAGAUUUAUACCUACAUGCUUGGUGUAUAGUUAGCAGUGCUCUAUUAGUUUAUAGUAUUUUGAAAACUUCAUGUAUUUUAUAUUUGAGGGCAUGUUAAAUAUUAGAAUAAAAUAUAUAAAAAUAACUUAUUCCAUAUAGUCUAAUUUGAGGGCAUGGAUAACUAAUAUGGUAUAAAUCUCUUUAAUUUACUAAAAAAAAUAUCAUUGUCGAUGGAUGAAAAGUGUGAUCAAAUAUUUAGAAUAGAAUACCAUAUUCGGUAUUCAAGUAAUUUUUUUAAAAUAAGAUAAAAUACCUCCUAAGUGAAAUAUGUUAUCAUUUCAAAUUAUGAUUAUUGAGAUCUUUUAAGAAACAAAAUUCAAAUUUCUAAUGUUCAAUCAGGCAAGAAAAUCUUCAUCACAAUUAAGGUAUCAAAUAAUAUCUUUUUUCUGACUACCAACUCGAGGGCUACAAAAUUCUUUUUGUGAGCAAGUGCAAGCUAGCUUUUUUAUUUUUUUGCUUCGUAAAAGAUCUCGGUAUACAUGAUUUGGUGGAUAACAUAUUUUAUCUGUAGUGUGAUUUAUUAUAAAAAAAAAUGACUUGAAUGCCAAAUAAGGUAUUCCUUUUAGAUAUUUAACCACACUUCUUAUCUACUACAAACUUCUUGAACUCGAAUUGUUAAAAACAGACAACAAAUUCAUUUAAAGUGUACAAACACAAUACCCACGAGUUUUUUUGGUGACUCGACCCAUCCUAACCUCUACCACGUAACCAACAGGCUGUGAUAGUGGCUUAGUCCAAUCCGGCCUUUGUCAUAAGGCAGAUGUUGGCUUCUUUAAUUCAAAAAUUUUUUCUAGUAUCUGCACAUACAUAUUUCAAUAUGCGAGCAUCAAAUUUGUAACCUGCUAUGAUACCACUGGUUGUAUCAUCGGAAGUAACUGCCAAUUUUAAAAGCUCAAGAUAUUAGAAAACGACAACCAAUCACUUUUAUCCGAAAAAAAAAUACCGCAGAAAAUAGUUUUCUAAUUGGAAAACUAUUUUUUGCCGUUUGGUUGCUCAGGAAAUUAAGUAAUUUUUCUGAAAAAGAAAAAUAUUUCUGGUUUCAUAAAAAAUUGCUCUUUUCAUUUUUCAAAUUUUCUUUCCAGAAACAAAAACUAUGGAUAAAGAUUUUCUUUUAUGAAAAACAUUUUUUUUCCGAAACAAUUUUGCACACUUUUCUAAGAAACCAAACACUCCCUCAAAGCAUAUUGACAAAUCAUCCAUGAGCCUCAAUUCUGACUUGGCCCAAUCUGGCCUCCACAGCGUAGAUCGCAAGCUAGUUUCUAUAUUUGGUCACUUCCAUAUUGAAUAUUUGGUGUUGAAUUUUAACAUAUUGAACUUUUAAGGGCGAAUUAUCAUUUAGUAGAAGUUUAAAUAACUUUGAUAAUUUUUAUCAUUCUAUUUUAUAAUUGCGAAUAAAAUAUAAUAUUUUUUAAUUUAAAUAUUUUAAUCAGAUUUAUCGUAAUGUAAUUGGUUGAUCUAUUUACUAUAUACUAAAGUAAAACCUUUUCUGUAUGGCUUUCUAUAUGCUUGCCAGGUAUCAAACUCAAAUAUAGAAUAGCAAUUUUAUUAGUAAACACUAUUAAAUCAAAUUAUACCAAUUAACAAAUUAUACCAAUUAAAUAUAACUAUAUAUACAAUUAGGAAACACUAUUAAAUCAAAUUAAAUCAAAUUAUACCAAUUAAAUAUAAUUAUACAUUAGGUUAACAAGAAUCAUAUUAGGAAACACUAUUAAAUUAAAUUUAAUCAAAUUAAAUCAAAUUAUACCAAUUAAAUAUACUUAUAUAUACAAUUAGGAAACAUUAUUAAAUCAAAUUAAAUCAAAUUAAAUACAAUUAUUUACAUCUAUUCUAUUUACUAUAUACUAAAAUAGAACCCUUUGUGUAAAGCUGCCACGUGGCUUUCUAUAUACUUGCCACAUGUCAAAUUCAAAUAUAGAAUAGCAAUUUUAUUAGGAAACACUAUUAAAUCAAAUUAAAUCAAAUUAUACCAAUUACAAAUUAUACCAAUUAAAUAUAAUUAUAUAUACAAUUAGGAAACACUAUUAAAUCAAAUUAUACCAAUUAAAUAUAAUUAUAUAUACAAUUAACGAGAAUUUUAUUAUAUUAGGAAACACUAUUAUAUCAAAUUAAAUAAAAUUAAAUCAAAUUAUACCAAUUAAUAAAUUAUACCAAUUAAAUAUAAUUAUAUAUACAAUUAACAAGAAUUUUAUUAGGAAACACUAUUAAACAUUAUUAUAAUAAUUAUACUCAAAUAUAUAAUAGCAAUUGUUUUAGGAAACACUAUUAAAUCUAAUUAAAUCAAAUUAUACCAAUUAAAUAUAAUCUAUUUCAUAUAUACUAAAGUAGAAUCUUUUGGUGUAAAACUAACACGUGUCUUUCUAUAUAUUUGCCACGUGUCAAACUCAAAUAUAGAAUAGCAAUUUAGUAAAUAGAUUAGAAAACACUAUUAAAUAAAAUUAAAUCAAAUUAUACCAAUUAAAUAUAAUUAUAUAUACAAUUAACUAGAAUUUUAUUAGAAAACACUAUUAAGCACUAUUAUUAUAAUUAUAUAUACAACUAACUAAAAUUUUAUUAGGAAACACUAUUAAACACCAUUAAAUCAAAUUAUAAAUAGGUAAGUAGUUUAUUUUUCUUCAUGUUAUUUCAAAAAUUAUAAUUUUUCAACAAUUCAACUCUGUUAUUUUUUUUUUAAAAUAAAUUUAGAUUAUUUUCUGAAAAAUUUCACUAAUAUUAUAAUAUUUAUUAUUUUACUUAUCUAACAAUUUAUCUAUAUUGCUAUUGGAAUAAGUAUUUUCUAUCUUCAUGCAACAAAGUUUUUUUUUUCCUUCAUAUUUUCUUGAAGACCAACAUCUAUAUAUAUUUGAAUCUUAGAAGUUGGUAUAUCUCUCAUAUACGUGUGCUUAUUCUAAUUUGUGUCAAACAUAAAAGUUUAAUUGAUCUCAUUAUAUGCUUAAAUAUUAAUGUCAUUUGUAAUUUUUCAUAUCAACUUGAGUUCUUUUUUUGUUUUGCACAUUAAUAUAUAAAUGUAAAUUGUUUUGCACAUCAAUUCAUAGAUAAUAGAGCAUGAUUGAAUUUUGCUCUUUACCUUAGUAUUUAGUUCGGUCCAUAAUUUUGUUUCUCUAGCUUUUGUAUUUUAAUAUGUACUAUAAUUAAGAUUGAUAGUAUAUUUCUUUAUUUGUUAAAAAAAUAUAAUAUUAAUUAGAAUAUUUUUCUUUUAUCAUCACAUAAUAACUUUUGUUAUUUUAUAUUAUUAUAUUAACCGUGCAUCUAGACCUGGCAAUCUCGACCCAUACCCGUGGGUGCCCGCGGGUUACCCGCAAAUUUGCGAGUAUGGGUACCAACUUUUCAAACCCAAAAAAUUAUAGGUAAAACGGGUGGGUACCCAUUAAGCUAUAGGCAUUUUGGGUAACCCGCGGGAUGCAAACGGAUCCGGGUUGGUGGAGCUCCCGCCCCGAUCUGCCCCGACGGGAGCAGUAAACGGGAGAAAAUAAACGGAUUCGGGGCAGGAAAUGGGGUAAGUUUUACGAUCCGAGACGGAUUCGGGGCAGGAAACGGGAAAAAUUUUGACCCGCCCCGAAUCCGCCCCGAAUCCGCCCCGCCCCGAAUCCGCCCCGAAUAUCAUUUGUAUUUUUAAAAAAUAUUCCAAAAAAAUAAUAUAUUUACAAAAAAAGUUUAAAAUACAAAUAAGUUAUUACUCUCAUUUCUAAUGUAUUUGAAAUAUUUGAAUUUUGUUUUGAAUUGUGAUUGAUAUUUUUAAUUUUUACCAUUCAUAUUGUUAAAUUAUAAUAUAAUAUUAUUAAAAAAUUUUAAUUUAUAUUUUACAAAAUAUUAAUAAUAUUAUAAUUUUAUAAAAAAUAUUAGUUGGCGGGGCGGAUUCAGGGCGCCGGCGGGAGGCGGGUUACGAGGCGGGGCGGGUUAUGGGAUGUAUUUUUUAACCAGUCACGGAUUUGGGGCCGGAGAUGGGGCGGGAUUUUGCUAGUCGGGGCGGAAGGCAGGGCGGGGCUCCCGCCCCGAGAUCCGCCCCGUUUGCAUCCCUAUCUAUACAUAAGAUGUGGUGGAUCAUGUUUACGGAAGAGAUUACUAAAAAGCAUGGCCUUUUAGAUUGGACUAGGAACAGCAGAGCGAUUGGAGAGACGUACGCGGUUUUCACGAUUUAAGCUUAAUGUGAAAUAAUGUUUUUUUUGCCUUUGACUCAUUAGAACUUAAAAAGCGUAGGUACAAUGCCCACGAGGUCAACUCUUUUACUUGACAAAAGAACUUUUUAAGGGGAAAAAAAAAUAAAUAAAUAAAGAAACAUUGUAUUGAGACCCCUUAGGUUUGUUUGAUUCGGAUAUAAGUCAUAACUAUUUAUUCAAGUGAUACGUAUAAGUUCAGAUAUAAGAAGGAAUAAGAUUAUUUUGUAUUUAGAUGAAAAUUGGGCUAUUUCUGGGUAUUAAGAAAAAAAAAAGUUUGAAUAAUUAGAUUGUAAUAGUGAGAAUUAAUAAGAGUAAAUACUGUUUAUAAUAAUAAUAUUUUAUCUAAUUAGUUAAUAUAAAAAUAUUAAUUAAAUAAUAUUUUAUCUAAUUAGUUAAUAUAAAAUUUUACCUAAUUAAUUAAUAUCAAAAUAUUAAUUAAUAAUAAUUAACUUAACAAACUAAUAAAUAUUUCAGCUAUGAAUAGUGGAUAAGAUAAUGGAGAAAUACAUUAAUUAAUUAAUUAAUUAAUUAUAAAUUAGUUAAUUUUUUAAUUAGUUAGUGUUUAGAUAAUUCGUUAAGACAUUAAUUAGAUUAGUCAAAACAUUAAUGGUUGAUCAAUAUAAAUAUUGGUUAUUGGAUAAACAUAUUAAAUUAUUAAUUUUCAAUUAGUUAAUUAAUAAUAAAUAAUAAAUUGAUUAAUUACUUUACUAUUUAUUAUUUAAGCAAUAGACAAUGACUUAAAUAUAUUAAUUAGAUUAAUUAACGAUGUAAUAUCAUAAUUAAAAUUAAAUUUAGAUUUUAAUUAAGCUUGUUCCAGGAGGAAGAGUUGUUCCAAGAUAAUACCAGCUUAUUCCCGUAAAAGGGCAACUACUAUUCUCGAUUACCAUUAUUGGUGUUCG